GCCUGCCUAGCUCAAUCGGAUAGAGCGUGAGACUUUUACGGAUGGGUAGCACCCACCUCGUUAGGGAUCUCAAGGCUGCGGGUUCGACCCCCGCGGUGGGCU
Molecule: non-coding RNA, 102 nt
Organism: Trametes gibbosa
Lineage: Eukaryota; Fungi; Basidiomycota; Agaricomycetes; Polyporales; Polyporaceae
Source: the annotation of a GenBank genome assembly